Molecule: ribosomal RNA, 253 nt
Filed under: uncultured bacterium
Lineage: Bacteria
Description: partial 16S ribosomal RNA
Rfam family: Bacterial small subunit ribosomal RNA
Source: RNAcentral
UACAGAGGGUGCGAGCGUUAAUCGGAUUUACUGGGCGUAAAGCGUGCGUAGGCGGCUGAUUAAGUCGGAUGUGAAAUCCCCGAGCUUAACUUGGGAAUUGCAUUCGAUACUGUUAAGCUAGAGUAUGGGAGAGGAUGGUAGAAUUCCAGGUGUAGCGGUGAAAUGCGUAGAGAUCUGGAGGAAUACCGAUGGCGAAGGCAGCCAUCUGGCCUAAUACUGACGCUGAGGUACGAAAGCGUGGGGAUCAAACAGG